GAUGAAGAACGUAGCGAAAUGCGAUACUUGGUGUGAAUUGCAGAAUCCCGUGAACCAUCGAGUCUUUGAACGCAAGUUGCGCCCGAAGCCAUUAGGCCGAGGGCACGCCUGCCUGGGUGUCACACAUCGUUACCCCAACGCAAACCUGUAACAAUGUUGCUGCGCGGGGUGUAUGCUGACCUCCCGCGAGCACCCGCCUCGUGGUUGGUUGAAAUCUGGGUUCAUGGCCGACUUCGCCGUGAUAAAAUGGUGGAUGAGCCACGCUCGAGACCAAUCACGUGCGAGCCGGUCAGUUCUGGACCCAUCGACGACCCUUUGCGUGCACGCACGCUCCCAACGAGACCUCAGGUCAGGCGGGGCUACCCGCUGAGUUUAAGCAUAUCAAUAAGCGGAGGA
RNAcentral lists this unclassified non-coding RNA (396 nucleotides) under soil metagenome. Its description in RNAcentral is "partial contains 5.8S ribosomal RNA, internal transcribed spacer 2, and large subunit ribosomal RNA". The stretch from base 1 to 122 matches the Rfam family "5.8S ribosomal RNA", at positions 35 to 154 of the family's 154-position model. The record is from RNAcentral.